RNAcentral lists this long non-coding RNA (2605 nucleotides) under Homo sapiens (human). RNAcentral describes it as "long non-coding RNA NONHSAT216998.1". The record is from RNAcentral. Lineage: Eukaryota; Metazoa; Chordata; Mammalia; Primates; Hominidae.
GGCGGUCACAUACUGAGUGCAUGCCCUCUUUCCACCUCCCACCAGAGCACCCUCUGUGCCAAGGCAAUAUUGCAGUAGUGCUGCAUGGAAUUCGUCCAGCACACUAUGAACAGAAACUGCCUUUUGAUUUCUUCUUUUAUCUUGCAGACUUUUCAUGUUUUCUCCAGAAACAGAGGACCCCAGCUCAUCAGGGCAUUCUUGGGAUGCCAAGACUCAAGACCCCAUGUGGUCGCCUAUCUCCUUCCUCUGCUCCCUGGUUUCACCUGCGUCUCACACAAAACCAGAAACGCCUCAAGCAGAAACAGAGUCUGUGACCGAAUCAUCAAUUCUGGUUUUUUUUUGUUGGUUUUUUUUUUUUCCUCUUGGAACAGAUUCGGGAGGAAUCUAAGUAUCAUUGUAAAAUUCACAAAAUGCCAAAUCCACUGAGUGAGCAACAGAUGAGGGAAAUUGCUCCACAUCCCGUGGAGAGGAAAUGAACGGGACUGGGGAGGAAGAAUGUGCUGCGUGGUGGGAACACUGUUUUGAUUCCUGAUGCUGCACAUCUGCCACGUUUCUGCACAGAGCUACCAGCCCGGGCAGACACUGAGGACCCUCCUCGCGCACUGGAGCUGUGGCCUCGGCAGCUGUGGGAAUGCGGACAGGAAGCAGGGGACCCUGGAGGCGAGAGGAGGAGGACAUCCUGCGGGGAUAGAUAAAAAAUAACGGCCGGGCUGUGGGAACCUCUUCCGAGCAAACAUGUGAGCCCAGGAAUUUCCUGAGCCAGAGAUCUGACUCCGGUUAUUUGUUGUAACUGAUUAUUUGUUUUCCUGGAGAUUUUGCAUAAUUUUGACAAAGGGAAAGAAGAUAUAAAGCCAAGACAUGCAUGACUGCCCUUCUGAAGCCUCUGCUCACAGAGCAGAGGGAUAGGAGGCUGUGAUUCAGAUUAUGGGGCCUGCAGGCUGGGGAGGGCGACCCUGCAGGGGCCCAGGAGCAGGCAGAGUGUGCCCCACAGACCCCUCCCUGGGGCAGAGGGACAGCAGAUUACUGGGCCCGAGACGCAUUAGGUGGCACAUGCUGGUUCCCUCUGUCCAGCGAGCCUCUCCCCCAGCAUCAUCCAGCCCUGGGCCUCCAGCAGGCAGAGGAGAUCAUGACCAGGAAGCAAUUCAUCACCAUCCAAGGCCUUAGCAGACUCUGGCUUUCCUUUGAAUUUCCAAGAAAACUGCUCCAUAAUUUUUAUCAAGACUUAUCAUUUGCCCAUCUCACCCUACACACUAGAAUUUUAAGCGAUGAAGUACAUGUGGAGACUUACUUUGUAGUCUUUUAAGAUAAUGACCAAAUGAACAUUUCUGGCCUCACUCAGCAUCUGCUCUGACACGGGUUUAAGGGGCUGCCGCGGCCAGGAAGAGGUGGGCCUGGUCCUGUCGGUGGAUGCGCAUUCUGCUUCCCUUAGGCGGGGCUGGGCAUGCUGGGACCUCCCCUGUGAGGGGACAGCGGAACUCGCAGGGCAGACCCAUGUCCCUGGUGUCUUCCUUCUGAUGGGCCUUCCCCUCAUGUCGGGAUCCACCUUACAGGGCAUCUGGCCUGGUGUCUGCACAUAGUGAAACAUGGCUGAGUGUCCCUUGCAUUAAAUGCAUGUCCUUGGGAUCGCGGUUUCCCUCUCCUCUCCCUUGUCUUUCCCAAGAAACCCUCCACCCUGACGACACCCCACUAAUAUCUCCAUGUGGCCAAUUCCUCACAGGGUCAAAUAUGCUGGGCCACCCCCUCUGAGGCCGCAGCUGCAUCUCAGGUUUGCAUUCUCACCACGGCCGUUCUACUGAUGGGAGCUUCAUUUCUAUUUGCUCGAGGUCCGCCCAACACAUUUCGCCCUGGAUCUCACUGGGUGGACGUGAACAUCCACCUGCACGACAGUAAAGGAAAAAGGACAAGAUGGAGUUGUGGGGGCAGGGGGUGGUUCUUCCCAUAAAAACACAGAAGCAUCACAAGAAUAAUAUUUGUUAAAAGCCUCCAGGAUUUGGUGCCGAACAUCUCUCAAGGCAUCUCCUGAUUUCCCAGAGCUGAUGGAAAUAUUCUGAAGGUAUUAAUAGAAUGCAGAUGUUGGAGAAUGCGACUUAGAAUCCUACUGAACAAAUGACCCUGUUGGGAGGCAGUUUGCAGUCUCCAGGGACAUUCCACAGAGGGCCCAGCUGAUUGUCUCAUAUUGAAACAGCAUGUCCCAGCAUUCCAGCUAGAAGAAGCGGAACAGGGCUCCUCCACCAGAUAUAAAUCACAAGGCAAAGGGCAACUGAACUCCUUCAGUCCUGCCCUCCCUCCUUCCUUGGUUCACCCUCCACCCCCUCCCCCGCUCCCGCCCCCCAAGGAAAACAAAGCUUGAGUAAGAGGCUGCCAAGCCAAGCCACGCAGGCGCCAGACGGCCGAGCGCGGCACACACGACGGCCGUUUGGGAGGCUCACAGCUUUCGGCACUGUGGCCCUGAUGUUUUUGCUUCACUGCAAUUUGUUUCUGAUCUCCAGUCAAGUCCUUACAACGCUGGGAUCCUCUAGAGAGUUUAUACUUUGACCUCGUGACAAUUAACACCAGAGGCCAAGAAAAAAAAAAAAAACUCGAUAAGAGAGAAACUCAAUUGGUG